AGUCAGCGUGCGAGUGAUAAGACCCGUACGCAAGAGGGAAACAGCCCAGACCGCCGGCUAAGGUCCCAAAUGCUGUGCUAAGUGGAAAAGGAUGUAGGACUUCGAAAACAACCAGGAUGUUGGCUCAGAAGCAGCCACCAUUAAAAGAGUGCGUAAUAGCUCACUGGUCGAGAGGCCCUGCGCCGAAAAUAUCCGGGGCUAAAGCACAGAACCGAAGCCGCGGCAGGGUACACUUUUGUGUACACUGGGUAGGGGAGCGUUCUUAUCUGGACGAAGGUAGACCGGAAGGACUGCUGGACGGGUAAGAAGUGAGAAUGCCGGUAUGAGUAGCGAAACGACAGGUGAGAAUCCUGUCCACCGAAAGCCUAAGGGAUCCUGGGCAACGCUCGUCGCCCCAGGGUAAGUCGGGACCUAAGCCGAGGCGAAAAGCAUAGGCGAUGGACAACUGGCGAAAAUUCCAGUACCGGGCGUCUUCGUUUGAGGAUGGAGUGACGCAGGAAGGAAGCUGAGCACGCGAUUGGAUGUGCGUGUCGAAGGCGGUAGGCUUGUAUGGAGGCAAAUCCCCAUACUGCAAGGCCGAGAACCGAUAGAUAGGAAAGACUACGGUCAAUCUGAAUUCAGCUGCACUACACUGCCAAGAAAAGCUUCUAACGAGAAGACGUCCGCCCGUACCAAAACCGACACAGGUAGGCGGGGAGAGAAUCCUAAGGUGCGCGGGAAAACCCUCGUUAAGGAACUCGGCAAAAUGCCUCCGUAACUUCGGGAAAAGGAGGACUCAUGUAGUGUGAAGAGCAGAAGCGCUUGGAGCAUGAAUGAGUGGCACAAGAGAGGCGCAAGCGACUGUUUACCACAAACACAGGUGCCUGCUAAAGCGAAAGCUGAUGUAUAGGUGCUGACACCUGCCCGGUGCUGGAAGGUUAAGAGGAGGGGUUAGACUUCGGUCGAAGCUCUGAAUUGAAGCCCCAGUAAACGGCGGCCGUAACUAUAACGGUCCUAAGGUAGCGAAAUUCCUUGUCGGGUAAGUUCCGACCCGCACGAAAGGCGUAACGAUUUGGGCACUGUCUCAACGAGGGACCCGGUGAAAUUGAAAUACCUGUGAAGAUGCAGGUUACCCGCGACUGGACAGAAAGACCCCAUGGAGCUUUACUGCAGCUUGGCAUUGGUCUUUGGCAUAUAACGUACAGGAUAGCCGGGAGACUGGGAAGUCAUAUCGCUAGAUGUGAUGGAGUCACCGUUGGGAUACCGGCCUUUAUAUGCUAAGGAUCUAACUAGUACAUUAACAGUGUAUAGGACAGUACCAGGCGGGCAGUUUGACUGGGGCGGUCGCCUCCGAAAGAGCAACGGAGGCGUCCAAAGGUUCCCUCAGCGCGGACAGAAAUCGCGCGCAGAGCAUAAAGGCAGAAGGGAGCUUGACUGCGAGACUGACGGGUCGAGCAGGUACGAAAGUAGGGCUUAGUGAUCCGGUGGAAAGAGAGUGGAAUUGCCAUCGCUCAACGGAUAAAAGCUACCCUGGGGAUAACAGGCUAAU
Molecule: ribosomal RNA, 1528 nt
Filed under: human metagenome
Description: bacterial LSU rRNA
Rfam family: Bacterial large subunit ribosomal RNA
Source: RNAcentral